CAUCAGCCUCCAUCGAUCUCUCAAGAGCCCGAUCUCGAACCUCCUCACCCUCCAAGCCUCCUCAAUCUCUCCGAUCUCAAGCCCUCACCCUCACCCUCCAUCUCCGAUCUCACCCUCACCCUCCAUCUCCGAUCUGAACCCUCGCCCCCGAAGCCUCCAUCUCUGAUUUCAACCCUCACCCUCACCCUCCAUCUCCGAUCUCAACCCUUGCCCUCCAAGCAUCCAUCUCUGAUCUCAACCUUCACCCUCACCCUCCAUCUCUCCGAUCUAAAGCCCUCACACUCCACCGUCAUCGCACAGGCAAAGUCCGUGUCUCUCUCUCUCUCUCUCUCUCUCUCUUUGUGAAAUCAGAAAAAGCUGAGAGAUACUCAAAUUUGAUUCUGCAAGGUACGAUGGCUGACCUCAACUGUCAUUUUCAUUUUCCAUGCAUUUUUUUUUGUAUAAUAUACCUAUGGUUGACCUCAACUCUCUCGCUUGCAUAUGGGUCUCUGAUUAUGUUAAUCUCUUGGGUCACAAGGAUCGCUGAGGACUGACUCUGAGUUUUGGAAAACUUUGUUCCCGAUAAAAUAGUUUCACUACCUACAAAAUCCAAGAAGCAGGUUGGAAGCGGAUCACACUCAAAGUCAACUGCCCCCGCUAUCUCAGAGGUACAAACAGUAAACAAGCCGUGUGAAAAUUUCAUCCAGACUAGGCAUCAAAAACUGACAUUCGCUAGCAGUUGUUGGAUGCAGGAAUGGGAAAGAAACGCCGAUUGUCACUUGUACAAGUUGGCAAAGGACCCUCACGUUCACGACAGAGGGGGGAGGAGCUGGAAGCCACCCAUACUAGUGAUGCUGGGUCACAACCCCCAGGAAUGGAAAGGGACCAUCCAUUGACGGUUGUGCAAGUUGGCCAAGGAUCGUCACGCUCACAAGACAGCGUGCAGGAGGAGUUAAGGGCCGCCUUUGCGGCUGAGCAAGCAAGAGGGGAGGGAGGAGAUGAUGAUGAUGAGACACAACCGCCUUCUCCAGAAGAUUUGGUCCAAGAAACCCCACUAUCCAGUAAUGGGCGUGCAGAAGAUUCGGUUUAGGAAACCCUAGUAUCCAGUAAUUUAAAUAAAAAGCGUGGGAUAACGCUAAUGCAGCGAAUAUGGUCUCUUCUAGCGAACAAGAAAAUUGUAUGUGGGUUAAAUGGGAGCGGCCAACCGAUUGGGGAGAGCGGGCAAACAUUCAAAAGGUGGUUGGGCACUUUUUGCAUCAGCCACGCCUAUUGCCCACUUAUGCCAAGUAAUUGGAUGCAUGUCCAUCAUAACUACAAAGAAGAUGCCUAGAUAAAGAUAGAGAAAAGGUGGAUCAUUGACCCAAAAAUUAUCAAACCAGCUAAUCAAAUGAACUGGGCAAUGCACUUACUAGGGGAAUUGAGGAAGAACCGAAGGAGCAAGUUAAAAAAGAAAUGCUACCCAAAAGAUGCGUCGAAAGAAGAUGUCAUUAAAAAGAAACUAGCUUGGGCUGACAUGCAAGACUACGACGCGCUAGUUGACUAUUGGUUUGAUUCUAAAACGCAGACAUUAAUUGAUACGAACAAGAGAAGUCGUGGGUUUCAGAAGGAUAUAGCGAGGUCGGGGCCUAUAAGUUUUGCCCAAACUACUAAGAAUAUGGUAAGAAAUGCAUUAUACAACAACUAGCCAGGUUUUAAUAUUCUACUAUUUUAAUCGAACUUGUGACA
Molecule: long non-coding RNA, 1704 nt
Organism: Quercus lobata
Lineage: Eukaryota; Viridiplantae; Streptophyta; Magnoliopsida; Fagales; Fagaceae
Exons: 8
Source: RefSeq, a predicted model, not a curated record